Molecule: long non-coding RNA, 334 nt
Filed under: Homo sapiens (human)
Lineage: Eukaryota; Metazoa; Chordata; Mammalia; Primates; Hominidae
Description: non-protein coding lnc-PDE7B-3:1
Source: RNAcentral
AUGGCCUCUGUUUCUGAGCUCGCCUGCAUUCUGCAUAAGGCUCGGCCCUCAUUCUGCAUGAGGGUGAGGUGACCGUCAAGGAGGAUAAGAUCAAUGCCCUCAUUAAAGCAGCUGGUGUAAAUGUUGAACCUUUUUGGACUGGCUUGUUUGCAAAAGCCUUGGCCAAUGUUGACAUGGGGAGCCUCAUCUGCAAUGGAGGAGCUCGUGGACCUGCACCAGCAGAAGGUCCUGCCCCCUCCACCAAUGCUGUUCCAGCUGAGGAGAAGAAAUAGAAGCAAAGAAAAGAGAGUCUGAGGAGUCCAAGGAGGAUAUGGGCUUUGGUCUUUUUGACUAA